UGGGCUUGACAUCCCACGACCUGGUGAAAGCCGGGAGUGCCCGCAAGGGAGCGCAGAGACAGGUGGUGCAUGGCUGUCGUCAGCUCGUGUCGUGAGAUGUUGGGUUAAGUCCCGCAACGAGCGCAACCCUCACCCUUUGUUGCCAUCAGGUUAUGCUGAGCACUCUAAGGGAACUGCCUCGGUUAACGAGGAGGAAGGUGGGGAUGACGUCAAGUCAUCAUGCCCCUUACGCUCUGGGCUACACACGUGCUACAAUGGCCAAUACAAAGGGCUGCAAACCCGCGAGGGCAAGCCAAUCCCAAAAAAUUGGUCUCAGUUCAGAUUGUAGGCUGCAACCCGCCUGCAUGAAGGAGGAAUCGCUAGUAAUCGUGGAUCAGCAUGCCACGGUGAAUACGUUCCCGGGCCUUGUACACACCGCCCGUCGCACCACGAAAGUCUGCUGUACUCGAAGUCGCUGAGAAUCUC
Molecule: ribosomal RNA, 465 nt
Filed under: uncultured bacterium
Lineage: Bacteria
Description: bacterial SSU rRNA
Rfam family: Bacterial small subunit ribosomal RNA
Source: RNAcentral